CCCGUGCACAUUAUGUGUAGGCACGGCUUCGGAAGCCAUACCGUGUCUACCGCCCAUGUGCACCAGAUGU
Molecule: small nucleolar RNA, 70 nt
Filed under: Euglena gracilis
Lineage: Eukaryota; Euglenozoa; Euglenophyceae; Euglenales; Euglenaceae
Description: Eg-p33 AGAUGN box pseudouridylation-guide
Source: RNAcentral